Molecule: ribosomal RNA, 563 nt
Filed under: uncultured fungus
Lineage: Eukaryota; Fungi
Description: eukaryotic LSU rRNA
Rfam family: Eukaryotic large subunit ribosomal RNA
Source: RNAcentral
AGAACAACAGGGAUUGCCCUAGUAACGGCGAGUGAAGCGGCAACAGCUCAAAUUUGAAAUCUGGCCUUUGGUCCGAGUUGUAAUUUGUAGAGGAUGCUUUUGGUGCGGUUCCUUCCGAGUUCCCUGGAACGGGACGCCUUAGAGGGUGAGAGCCCCGUACGGUUGGAUACCUAGCCUCUGUAAAGCUCCUUCGACGAGUCGAGUAGUUUGGGAAUGCUGCUCUAAAUGGGAGGUAAAUUUCUUCUAAAGCUAAAUACCGGCCAGAGACCGAUAGCGCACAAGUAGAGUGAUCGAAAGAUGAAAAGCACUUUGAAAAGAGGGUUAAAUAGCACGUGAAAUUGUUGAAAGGGAAGCGUUUAUGACCAGACUUUUUCUAGGCGGAUCAUCCGGUGUUCUCACCGGUGCACUUCGCCUAGUUUAGGCCAGCAUCGGUUUCCGUAGGGGGAUAAAAGCUUUAGGAAUGUGGCUCCUUCGGGAGUGUUAUAGCCUAUUGUAUAAUACCCUUCUGGGGACCGAGGUUCGCGCUCUGCAAGGAUGCUGGCGUAAUGGUCAUCAACGACCCG